GGGAGGGUGGCAGCGUUCCGAUGUCCCUUCGCCUGCCCGCAACGCCGCCAGCCGGGCUGUGGAGGAAGAUAAAGCGCAGGCCCCCACCCCGGUUCUCCGCCCCAACCUCGCAGCCCGCGGCUGCGUCACGCGCAUCGCCCCGAGCUCCCGGAUGCCAUUGGUGGUCCUGCGGCGCCUGGCAACGCCCAUUGCCACGCCCCCUCCCCGCUCUAGGGUACCCGCUGGGCUUCUCCAGCUACCUGGGUUUCUGGCUCCACCCCAACUCUUCUCCAGUGUGGACCGAAUCAACUUCCUGAGAGUUUGAAAAGGCAGCCUGCGAGAUUGCAUGGGACAAGGGGGAUCUGCUACUGACCGUUAAGGAAUAAGACAGAAGCAGUGUCCGAAAACUAUCAUAAGUUGCUUUGUGGUCUAAAUUCUACUUGACUCAAUCUGUCCUUCAGCAACGCACAACUUAGAUAAGACAGAAAAUAUAAAAAAGGAUCUCUGCAGAACAGCAGACGUGGAACAAGGAGAAACGAGAUCACAGAGAUAUUCUUGGCUAAGCAUGUGGGGUAGAUCUCAGUCCUUCCCUGGAUUAGGGUGCUUGCUGUAGAAACCAAAGAGAUGCAGUCUACAGCUGGCUCCGUUGUUUCUGGGCCUCUGGGGGCAUCAUAGCCCCCAGGGGGACAGUCCAUCAUAGCUCCCUGGUGAAACAGAGCUACUUUCCUGUUGAUGGAAGGAUGAAUAGAAAUGGGAAAGAUCCCAGGGCAAUACACUUCAAAGUGUCAAGAUGGCUCACCUGAUAAGGGCACUUGCUCGCAUUUGAACCUGGCAGCCUAUGUUCAAUCCUCAGAGCCCUCACAGUGGAAACAGACUCCUCAUUACCUCUUCCAUUGAAGUGCCUUAACACUUGGCCCACCCCCCCAAUAAAUAAUUAGAUAAAUUAAUUAAUAAAUAAAUGAAAAUGUA
Mastomys coucha (southern multimammate mouse) is the source of this 948-nucleotide long non-coding RNA. RefSeq lists it as uncharacterized. The record is from RefSeq and is a predicted model, not a curated record. NCBI's taxonomy places the organism in Eukaryota, Metazoa, Chordata, Mammalia, Rodentia, Muridae. The transcript is spliced from 4 exons.